CUCAGGAGAGGGGUCACUGGAGAGAAGGACAGGUCCCUAAGGCACCUCUCUACCUCAGUGGUGACAUUAAAGGAACCAGGUUUCCCCUUCCACCCAUGCCAGCCACUGAUGCAUUUCUUAGUUCCUGUUUCUCUUUGCUCACCCAGGAAGGCACUGCGUAUGAAAUCUUGGGCCCAGACUCCCGAUUUUAACUCACGUUAGAAAAUGCUAGCUCAUAGGACACAAAUCAGGAAGCUGGUUUUCCCAACAGACUCAUCUGGGCACUCAUUCUCCCAGAAUGUCAGAUACCACAGAGCCAGGUUGGUCGUCCCUCAGAAAGCCCGGCAUUUCACUGCUGCUAGCAAAGGAGGCUUUGGAGAAAAAACAAAGGCUGCAGGAGUUUAUGUGAAUCAGCUCACUCCUGUGGACAGGACACGAGGGGAAAGAUACUGAGGAAAAACAAUACAGAAUCUCAAGAAAUAAAUACAGACAUCGCAACUGCCACGUGAGUGUCCGGACAGCAGGGACUUUGGGUGUAAGAGAAGCUUUGCUCCCUGUGACUCAACAGAACUCUGCCAGCAAAGGCUAGUGGGUAAAAAGGGAUCUGCUCCAGAUGUGUUUGGGAAGCGCACAAUAGACUAAUUUAAAUGGCUCUCUUUAUUUCCUAACUUUGCAGGGUCUUCUGUACGCGACUGUGCAUUGUGAAUGCAUCUCUAGGGGAUGGAUGGAGCUUUUCCAAAAUCAUGCAUCCCUCUCCUUUUCUGCGGUUGUCAAAAGUCAGGAGAUGUGGAGGGGCAGGGGCAGCUGGUAUCUCUGGUGAACUCAGGGAAGCCCUGACUAGUCAUGGGCAGAGCCCGUCCUUUCUCUGCCCAUCGCUAGCGCCUGGUCAGAGAACAUCGCUGGAAACAGUGGGCAGGCCUGCGUCCGACCUCCCUCCGACCUCCCUACCAUGGCAGUGCUGUCUCUGGCCCUCUCUUCCUCCUCUGAGGGUCUGAGCAGCAGAUUUAAUCACAAAGCCGGCUUGUAGGUCUAUGGUCUUUGAGGGAGAUGACGCCAUCCAUUUUUCUGAAUCAGCGUGUCUCUCUGUCUGUCUUUGGAAUUAUCUUUUCACUUAUUUGGGAG
RNAcentral lists this long non-coding RNA (1101 nucleotides) under Equus asinus (donkey). RNAcentral's name for it is "lncRNA (ENSEASG00005028413.1)". Lineage: Eukaryota; Metazoa; Chordata; Mammalia; Perissodactyla; Equidae. The record is from RNAcentral.